RNAcentral lists this ribosomal RNA (492 nucleotides) under uncultured bacterium. RNAcentral's name for it is "partial 16S ribosomal RNA". It matches the Rfam family "Bacterial small subunit ribosomal RNA", at positions 29 to 507 of the family's 1533-position model. The record is from RNAcentral.
AGUGAACGCUGGCGGUAGGCCUAACACAUGCAAGUCGAACGGCAGCACAGUAAGAGCUUGCUCUUACGGGUGGCGAGUGGCGGACGGGUGAGGAAUACAUCGGAAUCUACUUUUUCGUGGGGGAUAACGUAGGGAAACUUACGCUAAUACCGCAUACGACCUACGUGUGAAAGCAGGGGAUCUUCGGACCUUGCGCGAUUGAAUGAGCCGAUGUCGGAUUAGCUAGUUGGCGGGGUAAAGGCACACCAAGGCGACGAUCCGUAGCUGGUCUGAGAGGAUGAUCAGCCACACUGGAACUGAGAAACGGCCCACACUCCUACGGGAGGCAGCAGUGGGGAAUAUUGGACAAUGGGCGCAAGCCUGAUCCAGCCAUACCGCGUGGGUGAAGAAGGCGUUCGGGUGGUAAAGCGCUUUUGUUGGGAAAGAAAAGCAGCAGGUUAAUACCCCGCUGUUCUGACGGUACCCAAAGAAUAAGCACCGGCUAACUUCGUG